AAGACUAUACUUUCAGGGAUCAUUUCUAUAGUUCAUUACUAGAGAAGUUUAUCUGAACGUGUAAAAAUGCAUGGAAACAAAUGAAAAUGGGAACACAAUGGU
Molecule: small nucleolar RNA, 102 nt
Filed under: Suricata suricatta (meerkat)
Lineage: Eukaryota; Metazoa; Chordata; Mammalia; Carnivora; Herpestidae
Description: Small nucleolar RNA U3 (ENSSSUG00005021004.1)
Rfam family: Small nucleolar RNA U3
About the family: Small nucleolar RNAs (snoRNAs) are involved in the processing and modification of rRNA in the nucleolus. There are two main classes of snoRNAs: the box C/D class, and the box H/ACA class. U3 snoRNA is a member of the box C/D class.
Source: Rfam by way of RNAcentral